This 253-nucleotide ribosomal RNA is filed under the name uncultured bacterium. Its description in RNAcentral is "partial 16S ribosomal RNA". It matches the Rfam family "Bacterial small subunit ribosomal RNA", at positions 524 to 776 of the family's 1533-position model. The record is from RNAcentral.
UACAGAGGUCUCAAGCGUUGUUCGGAUUCAUUGGGCGUAAAGGGUGCGUAGGCGGCGCGGUAAGUCGGGUGUGAAAUCUCGGAGCUUAACUCCGAAACUGCAUUCGAUACUGCCGUGCUUGAGGACUGGAGAGGAGACUGGAAUUUACGGUGUAGCGGUGAAAUGCGUAGAUAUCGUAAGGAAGACCAGUGGCGAAGGCGGAUCUCUGGACAGUUACUGACACUGAGGCACGAAGGCCAGGGGAGCAAACGGG